UUUGGUUCGAGAGAGUGGAAAACUGGUGAGUAACACGUGGGAAACCUGCCCAGAAGCGGGGGAUAACACCUGGAAACAGAUGCUAAUACCGCAUAACAACUUGGACCGCAUGGUCCGAGCUUGAAAGAUGGCUUCGGCUAUCACUUUUGGAUGGUCCCGCGGCGUAUUAGCUAGAUGGUGGGGUAACGGCUCACCAUGGCAAUGAUACGUAGCCGACCUGAGAGGGUAAUCGGCCACAUUGGGACUGAGACACGGCCCAAACUCCUACGGGAGGCAGCAGUAGGGAAUCUUCCACAAUGGACGAAAGUCUGAUGGAGCAACGCCGCGUGAGUGAAGAAGGGUUUCGGCUCGUAAAACUCUGUUGUUAAAGAAGAACAUAUCUGAGAGUAACUGUUCAGGUAUUGACGGUAUUUAACCAGAAAGCCACGGCUAACUACGUGCCAGCAGCCGCGGUAAUACGUAGGUGGCAAGCGUUGUCCGGAUUUAUUGGGCGUAAAGCGAGCGCAGGCGGUUUUUUAAGUCUGAUGUGAAAGCCUUCGGCUCAACCGAAGAAGUGCAUCGGAAACUGGGAAACUUGAGUGCAGAAGAGGACAGUGGAACUCCAUGUGUAGCGGUGAAAUGCGUAGAUAUAUGGAAGAACACCAGUGGCGAAGGCGGCUGUCUGGUCUGUAACUGACGCUGAGGCUCGAAAGUAUGGGUAGCAAACAGGAUUAGAUACCCUGGUAGUCCAUACCGUAAACGAUGAAUGCUAAGUGUUGGAGGGUUUCCGCCCUUCAGUGCUGCAGCUAACGCAUUAAGCAUUCCGCCUGGGGAGUACGGCCGCAAGGCUGAAACUCAAAGGAAUUGACGGGGGCCCGCACAAGCGGUGGAGCAUGUGGUUUAAUUCGAAGCUACGCGAAGAACCUUACCAGGUCUUGACAUACUAUGCAAAUCUAAGAGAUUAGACGUUCCCUUCGGGGACAUGGAUACAGGUGGUGCAUGGUUGUCGUCAGCUCGUGUCGUGAGAUGUUGGGUUAAGUCCCGCAACGAGCGCAACCCUUAUUAUCAGUUGCCAGCAUUAAGUUGGGCACUCUGGUGAGACUGCCGGUGACAAACCGGAGGAAGGUGGGGAUGACGUCAAAUCAUCAUGCCCCUUAUGACCUGGGCUACACACGUGCUACAAUGGAUGGUACAACGAGUUGCGAACUCGCGAGAGUAAGCUAAUCUCUUAAAGCCAUUCUCAGUUCGGAUUGUAGGCUGCAACUCGCCUACAUGAAGUCGGAAUCGAUAGUAAUCGCGGAUCAGCAUGAAGCGGUGAAUACGUUCCCGGAAGGGGUUCACAGGGCCCCAGAAAGUGGUAACAAGGUACCCGUAG
Molecule: ribosomal RNA, 1354 nt
Filed under: Lactiplantibacillus argentoratensis
Lineage: Bacteria; Bacillati; Bacillota; Bacilli; Lactobacillales; Lactobacillaceae
Description: bacterial SSU rRNA
Rfam family: Bacterial small subunit ribosomal RNA
Source: RNAcentral